This 449-nucleotide ribosomal RNA is filed under the name uncultured bacterium. Its description in RNAcentral is "partial 16S ribosomal RNA". It matches the Rfam family "Bacterial small subunit ribosomal RNA", at positions 29 to 523 of the family's 1533-position model. The record is from RNAcentral.
AAUGAACGCUGGCGGCAGGCCUAACACAUGCAAGUCGAACGCCCUAGCAAUAGGGAGUGGUGCACGGGUGCGUAACACGGGGGAACAUGCCCUUGACUACGGAACAACGUCGGGAAACUGACGCUAAUACCGUAAAAUGACUCCGGUCCAAAGAUUUAUCGGUCAAGGAUUAGCCCGCGUGUGAUUAGGUAGUUGGUGAGGGAAUGGCUCACCAAGCCAACGAUCAGUAGCUGGUCUGAGAGGAUGAUCAGGCACACUGGAACUGAGACACGGUCCAGACUCCUACGGGAGGCAGCAGUGAGGAAUAUUGGACAAUGGGCGCAAGCCUGAUCCAGCCAUGCCGCGUGAGUAAUGAAGGCCUUCGGGUUGUAAAGCUCUUUUAGAUGUGAAGAUUAUGACGGUAGCAUCAGAAAAAGCCCCGGCUAAAUUCGUGCCAGCCGCCGCCGUAA